RNAcentral lists this non-coding RNA (829 nucleotides) under Ruidocollaris obscura. The record is from RNAcentral. Lineage: Eukaryota; Metazoa; Arthropoda; Insecta; Orthoptera; Tettigoniidae.
AUCUAUGUAUUAAAAAUAGAACCAUAAAUUUUAUUUUAAAUAAAAAGUUUUAUUCUUGUUUAGAGUCUUAUUAUUUAGAUAAUUUAUAUGUAAAUUUGUGUGAGAGGUAAGUGAAUCUAAAAGAGGAUAUUAUAAGUUAAUCGCAGUAUUGAAUUUUAAAUAUCAAGGUGGUUUGGAAUUAGUAAUUUAAUAUAUGAUUGGUUAAGGUCGUGCCAGCAGCCGCGGUUAUACGUAGGAUAGAAAUAAGAUUUAUUAGUUGAGAGUUAAUAAAUUGAAUUGGAAUAAUUUAAUAAUUUUGUAGGUAGAAUUUAAAAUUAUUUUUAUUUAUGAUUAUGAAAUGAAGCUUUGAAAGUUAGAUUUUAGACUAGGAUUAGAUACCCUAUUAUUUUAAUUGUAAAAAUGAGGCUUGGGUAGUAUUAGUUAAGAUCUUGAAACUCAAAGAAUUUGGCGGUGUUUUAGUCUUUUCAGAGGAAUCUGUCCUAUAAUUGAUAAUACACAUUAAAUGUUACCUAAUUUUGUAAUAGCAGUUUGUAUACCGCCGUCAUAAGAAUAUCUUUUUAGAGGAUUGAAUAUUCUAGUUAUUAAAAAUAAAUAGUAUGUCAGGUCAAGGUGCAGUUUAUAAUUAGGAAGAGAUGGAUUACAAUAAAAUUAUUUAAAUGACGAAUUUUAUGAUGAAAUUUAUGAAUAAAGGUGGAUUUGAAAGUAAUAUUAUUAUAUUAUGAUAAUAUGAUUUAAGCGCUGAAACAUGCACACAUCGCCCGUCGCUCUCGUUACUAAGAUGAGAUAAGUCGUAACAUAGUAGAUGUACUGGAAGGUGUAUCUAGGAAGU